RNAcentral lists this ribosomal RNA (253 nucleotides) under uncultured bacterium. RNAcentral describes it as "partial 16S ribosomal RNA". It matches the Rfam family "Bacterial small subunit ribosomal RNA", at positions 524 to 776 of the family's 1533-position model. The record is from RNAcentral.
UACAGAGGGUGCGAGCGUUGUUCGGAAUUAUUGGGCGUAAAGCGCUUGUAGGCGGCCUGUCAAGUCGCGUGUGAAAUCCCCUGGCUUAACCAGGGAAGUGCGCGCGAAACUGAAGGGCUUGAGUGCCGGAGAGGGUCGCGGAAUUCCCGGUGUAGAGGUGAAAUUCGUAGAUAUUCGCAAGAACACCAGUGGCGAAGGCGGCUCACUGGCCCGAUACUGACGCUGAGGCACGAAAGCGUGGGGAGCAAACAGG